AAUAGAUACCCGGUAGUCCACGCCGUAAACGUUGGGCACUAGGUGUGGGGUCUAUUCAACGGACUCCGUGCCGUAGCUAACGCAUUAAGUGCCCCGCCUGGGGAGUACGGCCGCAAGGCUAAAACUCAAAGGAAUUGACGGGGGCCCGCACAAGCAGCGGAGCAUGUUGCUUAAUUCGAGGCAACGCGAAGAACCUUACCUGGGUUUGACAUGUAGAGAAAAGCCAUAGAGAUAUGGUGUCCUUCGGGGUUCUACACAGGUGGUGCAUGGUUGUCGUCAGCUCGUGUCGUGAGAUGUUGGGUUAAGUCCCGCAACGAGCGCAACCCUUGUCCUAUGUUGCCAGCACGUCAUGGUGGGGACUCGUAGGAGACUGCCGGGGUCAACUCGGAGGAAGGUGGGGACGACGUCAAAUCAUCAUGCCCCUUAUAUCCAGGGCUGCAAACAUGCUACAAUGGCCGGUACAAAGGGCUGCAAAACCGCGAGGUGGAGCGAAUCCCAUAAAGCCGGUCUCAGUUCGGAUUGGAGUCUGCAACUCGACUCC
This 541-nucleotide ribosomal RNA is filed under the name uncultured bacterium. RNAcentral's name for it is "bacterial SSU rRNA". It matches the Rfam family "Bacterial small subunit ribosomal RNA", at positions 777 to 1319 of the family's 1533-position model. The record is from RNAcentral.